Molecule: long non-coding RNA, 1899 nt
Filed under: Marmota monax (woodchuck)
Lineage: Eukaryota; Metazoa; Chordata; Mammalia; Rodentia; Sciuridae
Source: RNAcentral
AGAAACCCACCUGCAGAGGACUCAAGAGGCCCCCAGAUGCCAGCUCCCAGAGCUGGGAGCAAGGUCCUCUCCCACUGGCGCCAAUCCCAGGUUCCUUCUGCAACAGCAGCCCCUGCCCUCUGGCUCUCCUGAAUCCCACUGGUUAAGGAAGCGCGCGCGUUGAGUAAGGCUGGGCCUUCCAGAGGACUUUCAACACGAGUUAGGGAACAGCGAUGGAUCUCAACAGCUCUCAGGGGGACCCCGGCAUCUCAGGGAAGCAGGCAGGGAGCCAGGGUCUCCAGGGCUCCCCGUGAGCUGCUGCGCAGAGGCAGGAUGAGCCCAGAGCAGGCCCCAGACUCUGCUAUGUGCUGGCCAGGAGAUGGAGCUGGACACAGCGCCAAGGCCUGAAGGUGCAGCCUGCAGGACAGCUGGCCCGCUGGACUCAUGGGGCCGAGAUCCUGUGGGGCCUCUUGGGUGUCCAGAGACAGUGCCACCAACUCCUCUGGUGGCCUAGCUCCAACCAGGGUCUGCUUCUGAAGAAAUGAGUGGGCAGCCCCUUCCUGAUCACCUCUCAAGGGUGGCAUCAUCCCUCCGCAGAAGCCAGAACAUUCCCGAACGUGAGCCACCGGGAACAGACACACUUGGCAACGUGAGAAGUCUCCUCUGUCACUGUUCAGAUGAAAGUGGAACAGGAGGGCCGACCGCUGGUGCUGCCCGUCCUGCCGAAGCCUCCGAGCCGUCCACAGCCGUCGCACCGGCAGUGCUGCUGCAUACGGACCCUCCCGCUCUGUGGGCGAGAAGAGCCACCUCUUCUACCUUUCAAAGCCAUCUGGGCCUUCCUGGAAGCCAGGGAAGAUGACUGUGGAUGCUCACAGGUGGGUGGAAUAUUCUGGGCAGUCCCAGGGACACAGCAGCCCUCACAAAGCCCACUUUCGCCAGCACCCAACACUGAACCCUCCAGAACUCAUCGGCAAAUGACCUGCAAGAGGGACAGAGUCCUGGAAUCCACAUCAGUAGAUGCCCCUCCUCCAGACCCCCGGCGUCACUCACGAGGACACCAGGGACGCGGUAAGCUCUCAUAGGAUUCAAGCCAGCAAGCCCAGAAGUAGGGCGUUACCUCUGAGGAACCACGGCCUGCAGGAAGGAGCAGCCCAGGAGCCGCGCCUCCAGGGGCCUGGCCCCCUCUACCUGGUGGCAAGCACGCACGUGCUGCCCCAGGGGAACAGUCCCCUCUGGGUGGGGCCCAAGCUGCAGCGCCUGCACAACCCCAGCAAGGAGGAGGGGCGCAGGAGGCUGCAGGACCUCAGCCAAGCUGGGCCUCCGCACCUUCACACCUUGCUGACAGCCAAGCCGACCCGGGGCCCUGGGCGCACUUCUGGCCUCCCUGAGACCAGGGGCCACCUCGCCCACACUGCAGUCAGCUUCCUGCACAGCCUCUGGCUGAGAUGAGGCCCGGGCCACUCCUUGUCGGCUGGCCCAGCUGGGCGGCAGGAGCCCACCCUGCCCCACACUCUGACAAGUUGCAGACAGCCCGGCCUGCCCCUGUCCACCCUUCCCGUGGGCCCUGGGUGGGGACAGGGAUAACCCAAGGACCUCAUGACAUAACCAGGAGCCACGCCAUCCAUGACCCUGCAGGGAGCUGCCACAAAGCUGAAGGCCUCCAAGUCCACGAGGGCCACAGAGAAGAGCCACAAGAGGGGGACGGCCACCCCCCGAAUGCGCUGGGCCCUGCCUGCCACCUCGGACACUACCUGGCCUGCGCCCGACCCGCCCCCACCUCCCAGCAGACCUUCUGUGUCCCCACUCCUUUGACAGAGGCCACACCUAGUCCAACGGUCCCCUCAGUGGUGCUGGCCACAGCUGGCUUGAAGUGGACCUAGAAAUGCAGAAUCCACCUUUCCACGUGUACCUGAGUCCCAC